This 427-nucleotide ribosomal RNA is filed under the name uncultured bacterium. Its description in RNAcentral is "partial 16S ribosomal RNA". It matches the Rfam family "Bacterial small subunit ribosomal RNA", at positions 354 to 796 of the family's 1533-position model. The record is from RNAcentral.
GUGAGGAAUCUUCCACAAUGGGCGAAAGCCUGAUGGAGCAACGCCGCGUGAAGGAUGAAGGUCUUCGGAUUGUAAACUUCUUUUAUGAGUGAAGAAUAUGACGGUAACUCAUGAAUAAGCACCGGCUAACUACGUGCCAGCAGCCGCGGUCAUACGUAGGGUGCAAGCAUUAUCUGGAGUGACUGGGCGUAAAGAGUUGCGUAGGCGGUUAUGUAAGCUAAUAGUGAAACCUGGUGGCUCAACCACACAGACUAUUAUUCGAACUGCAUAACUCGAGAAUGGUAGAGGUAACUGGAAUUUCUUGUGUAGGAGUGAAAUCCGUAGAUAUAAGAAGGAACACCAAUGGCGUAGGCAGGUUACUGGGCCAUUUCUGACGCUAAGGCACGAAAGCGUGGGGAGCGAACCGGAUUAGAUACCCUGGUAGUCC